AGAUAUAAAGAGAAAAAUAUUUAACUAUGUGAGAAAUCAACAAAGCUUUCACAAUUCUGUUAAAAUAGAACUGAAAACUGUCCAUUGAAGCCCACGAAGUUUCUUUAACAGGCCCCAAAAAAAAAAUGGAAACGAUCGACUUUGAAUGUUAGGUUAGUUUCUUUUGAAAGUCUAGGCAUCCUCAACGACCAAACCAGACUUUCUUCUACUUACCAGUCCAACGAUCGAUACUAUCCAUGCAUGCUCAUUAAAAGCUUCCAGCUGGAAUCAUGGAUCCUUAUUCCUUAGCCGAUAAGCUUUCUUUCUCCUCCCAAGGAGGAGAUAAACCAAAAAAAAAAAACUAAAAAACAUUAUAUACAUUUACUGCAUGUCUCUGUCUUGAAAGUAAUCUAUAUAAAGAGGACUACAGGUUUAGCUCAUUUUAAGCGCAUUGCAAGCAGCUCGGUACUGAAAGAAGUUGGCACCUUAGAACAAACUCAGGAGAGAGAGAGGGAGCGAGAGAGAUGCCUCCACCUUGGGGACCGCCGCCAGGAGGGCCAGGAGGCCCGGGCUGUGGUUGCUUUGAUUUUCUCUGCGGUGGUAUAUGCCGCCUUGUAUCAUCCUGCUUUUAUCUGCUGUGCUGCUGCUGCAUCUUUGAGAGCUGCUGUGGACCCGUAUUUGGUGGCCCACCUGGCCCUGGUGGACCCCCAAGGUUCUGAUGAUCAGCUAAUUCCCAUACCCUUGUUGUAAUAUCACGAGGAGAGAAUAAAAAAUUGAGCUGAGCUGAUCUUACGUGGUUGUUCUAGUUUUUUUUUUUUUUUUUUAAUCAAUGUAUUCAUCUCUGGUUGGUGGUUGGGAAUGUGAUAAUAACAGUGCCAAUACCAGUUAGUUUUGG
Molecule: long non-coding RNA, 874 nt
Organism: Carya illinoinensis
Lineage: Eukaryota; Viridiplantae; Streptophyta; Magnoliopsida; Fagales; Juglandaceae
Exons: 2
Source: RefSeq, a predicted model, not a curated record